GCAAGUCGAACGGUAGGGAAGUGCUUGCACUUCCUGAGAGUGGCGAACGGGUGAGUAACACGUAAGUGAUCUGCCCUGAGGUUGGGGAUAGCCCAUGGAAACAUGGGGUAAUACCGGAUAAUCUCAUUACUUUUGAAGAGGUGAUGAGUAAAAGAGCUACGGCUCUGCCUUAGGAUGAGCUUGCGGUCCAUUAGCUAGUUGGUGGGGUAAAGGCCUACCAAGACUGCGAUGGUUAGCUGGUCUGAGAGGAUGAUC
RNAcentral lists this ribosomal RNA (255 nucleotides) under uncultured bacterium. RNAcentral describes it as "partial 16S ribosomal RNA". It matches the Rfam family "Bacterial small subunit ribosomal RNA", at positions 57 to 305 of the family's 1533-position model. The record is from RNAcentral.